CCUACGGGUGACAGCAGUGAGGAAUAUUGGUCAAUGGUCGGAAGUCUGAACCAGCCAUGCCGCGUGCAGGAAGAAGGCUCUAUGAGUUGUAAACUGCUUUUGUCCAGGGGUAAACCUGGAGACGUGUCUUCAGCUGAAAGUACUGUACGAAUAAGGAUCGGCUAACUCCGUGCCAGCAGCCGCGGUAAUACGGAGGAUCCAAGCGUUAUCCGGAUUUAUUGGGUUUAAAGGGUGCGUAGGCGGGUUGAUAAGUUAGAGGUGAAAUGUCCGGGCUGAACGCGGGAACUGCCUCUAAUACUGUUGGUCUAGAGAGUAGGAGCGGUAGGCGGAAUGCAUGGUGUAGCGGUGAAAUGCUUAGAGAUCGUACAGAACACCGAUUGCGAAGGCAGCUUGCCAACUUAACUCUGACGUUGAGGCACGAAAGCGUGGGGAGCGAACAGGAUUAGAUACCCCAGUAGUC
RNAcentral lists this ribosomal RNA (460 nucleotides) under uncultured bacterium. RNAcentral describes it as "partial 16S ribosomal RNA". It matches the Rfam family "Bacterial small subunit ribosomal RNA", at positions 338 to 795 of the family's 1533-position model. The record is from RNAcentral.